Molecule: ribosomal RNA, 896 nt
Filed under: Inocybe umbrosa
Lineage: Eukaryota; Fungi; Basidiomycota; Agaricomycetes; Agaricales; Inocybaceae
Description: partial 28S ribosomal RNA
Rfam family: Eukaryotic large subunit ribosomal RNA
Source: RNAcentral
UAAGCAUAUCAAUAAGCGGAGGAAAAGAAACUAACAAGGAUUCCCCUAGUAACUGCGAGUGAAGCGGGAAAAGCUCAAAUUUGAAAUCUGGCAGUUCUUGACUGUCCGAGUUGUAAUCUAGAGAAGUGUUACCUGUGCUGGACCGUGUACAAGUCUCCUGGAAUGGAGCAUCAUAGAGGGUGAGAAUCCCGUCUUUGACAUGGACUCCCAGUACGCUGUGGUGUGCUCUCAAAGAGUCGAGUUGUUUGGGAAUGCAGCUCAAAAUGGGUGGUAAAUGCCAUCUAAAGCUAAAUAUUGGCGAGAGACCGAUAGCGAACAAGUACCGUGAGGGAAAGAUGAAAAGAACUUUGGAAAGAGAGUUAAACAGUACGUGAAAUUGCUGAAAGGGAAACGCUUGAAGUCAGUCACGUUGGCUAGAAAUCAGCCCUGCUUUUGCGUGGUGUACUUUCUGGUUGACGGGUCAGCGUCAAUUUUGAUCACUGGAUAAAGUCUUUGGGAAUGUGGCAUCUUUGGAUGUGUUAUAGCCCUUGGUCGCAUACAGUGGUUGGGAUUGAGGAGCUUCGCAUGUGUUCAUGCUUAGGAUGCUGGCAUAAUGGCUUUAAUUGACCCGUCUUGAAACACGGACCAAGGAGUCUAACAUGCCUGCGAGUGUUUGGGUGGAAAACCCAUGCGCGCAAUGAAAGUGAAAGUUGAGAUCCCUUCAGGGAGCAUUGACGCCCAGACCAGACCUUCUGUGACGGUUCUGCGGUAGAGCAUGUAUGUUGGGACCCGAAAGAUGGUGAACUAUGCCUGAAUAGGGUGAAGCCAGAGGAAACUCUGGUGGAGGCUCGUAGCGAUUCUGACGUGCAAAUCGAUCGUCAAAUUUGGGUAUAGGGGCGAAAGACUAAUCGAACCAU